UUGGUCAUUUAGAGGAAGUAAAAGUCGUAACAAGGUCUCCGUAGGUGAACCUGCGGAGGGAUCAUUACCGAGUGGAUCGCCUCUGGGCGUGACCUCCAACCCCAUUGUUUUCCGACCCUGUUGCCUCGGGGGCGACCCGGCCUUUGGCUCCGGGGCCCCCGAUGGAAACCCAUCAAACACUGCAUCCAUGCGUCUGAGUAAAUUUUAAAUCAAUUUAAAACUUUCAACAACGGAUCUCUUGGUUCUGGCAUCGAUGAAGAACGCAG
Molecule: ribosomal RNA, 266 nt
Filed under: uncultured Ascomycota
Lineage: Eukaryota; Fungi; Ascomycota
Description: partial 18S ribosomal RNA
Rfam family: Eukaryotic small subunit ribosomal RNA (bases 1-67)
Source: RNAcentral